RNAcentral lists this transfer RNA (77 nucleotides) under bacterium. Its description in RNAcentral is "tRNA-Arg". It matches the Rfam family "tRNA". Rfam says of the family: Transfer RNA (tRNA) molecules are approximately 80 nucleotides in length. Their secondary structure includes four short double-helical elements and three loops (D, anti-codon, and T loops). Further hydrogen bonds mediate the characteristic L-shaped molecular structure. tRNAs have two regions of fundamental functional importance: the anti-codon, which is responsible for specific mRNA codon recognition, and the 3' end, to which the tRNAs corresponding amino acid is attached (by aminoacyl-tRNA synthetases). tRNAs cope with the degeneracy of the genetic code in two manners: having more than one tRNA (with a specific anti-codon) for a particular amino acid; and 'wobble' base-pairing, i.e. permitting non-standard base-pairing at the 3rd anti-codon position. The record is from RNAcentral.
CGGACCGUAAUUCAAUUGGAUAGAAAGCAAGUCUUCGAAACUUGAGGUUGGGAGUUCGAAUCUCUCCGGUCCGACCA